This 92-nucleotide transfer RNA is filed under the name Desulforudis sp. Its description in RNAcentral is "tRNA-Cys". Lineage: Bacteria; Bacillati; Bacillota; Clostridia; Thermoanaerobacterales; Desulforudaceae. The record is from RNAcentral.
GGAGGGAAAGGAGCUGGGCUCCCCGCGGAAUGCAAAUCCGUCGGCCGCGCCUAACGGUCGGGGUGGUGUUCGAUUCCCACUUCCCUCCUCCA